This 1097-nucleotide ribosomal RNA is filed under the name uncultured Eubacteriaceae bacterium. RNAcentral's name for it is "bacterial SSU rRNA". It matches the Rfam family "Bacterial small subunit ribosomal RNA", at positions 8 to 1103 of the family's 1533-position model. The record is from RNAcentral. Lineage: Bacteria; Bacillati; Bacillota; Clostridia; Eubacteriales; Eubacteriaceae.
AGAGUUUGAUCCUGGCUCAGGAUGAACGCUGGCGGCGUGCCUAACACAUGCAAGUCGAGCGAGAAGUAAAGAAAUGAAGCUUCGGUAGAUUUUCAUUAUGGAAAGCGGCGGACGGGUGAGUAACGCGUAGGCAACCUGCCCUGUACAGGGGGAUAGCCACCCGAAAAGGUGAUUAAUACCCCAUGAUGCAAGAGAUACACAUGUAUCACUUGUCAAAGAUUUAUCGGUAUGGGAUGGGCCUGCGUCUGAUUAGCUAGUUGGUAGGGUAACGGCUUACCAAGGCAACGAUCAGUAGCCGACCUGAGAGGGUGAUCGGCCACAUUGGAACUGAGACACGGUCCAAACUCCUACGGGAGGCAGCAGUGGGGAAUAUUGCACAAUGGAGGAAACCAUGAUGCAGCAACGUCGCGCGACGGAGGAAGGCCUUCGGGUUGUAAACUUCUGUCCUAGGGGAAGAAACAAAUGACAUUACCCUUGGAGGAAGCCCCGGCUAACUACGUGCCAGCAGCCGCGGUAAUACGUAGGGGGCGGAGCGUUAUCCGGGAAUUAUUGGGCGGUAAAGAGUGCGUAGGGUGGCAUCUUAAGCGCAGGGUUUAAGGCAAUGGUUCAACCAUUGUUCGCCUUGCGAACUGGGGUGCUUGAGUGCAGGAGGGGAAAGUGGAAUUCCUAGUGUAGCGGUGAAAUGCGUAGAUAUUAGGAGGAACACCAGUGGCGAAGGCGACUUUCUGGACUGUUACUGACACUGAGGCACGAAAGCGUGGGGAGCAAACAGGAUUAGAUACCCUGGUAGUCCACGCCGUAAACGAUGAGCACUAGGUGUCGGGGUCGCAAGACUUCGGUGCCGCAGUUAACGCAUUAAGUGCUCCGCCUGGGGAGUACGCACGCAAGUGUAAAACUCAAAGGAAUUGACGGGGACCCGCACAAGCAGCGGAGCAUGUGGUUUAAUUCGAAGCAACGCGAAGAACCUUACCAGGACUUGACAUCCUCUUGACAGAUCCUUAAUCGGAUUCUUCUUCGGACAAGAGAGACAGGUGGUGCAUGGUUGUCGUCAGCUCGUGUCGUGAGAUGUUGGGUUAAGUCCCGCAACGAGCGCAACC